ACGGGAGGCAGCAGUGAGGAAUAUUGGUCAAUGGGCGGAAGCCUGAACCAGCCAAGUCGCGUGAAGGAUGAAGGUAUUAUGUAUUGUAAACUUCUUUAGCAGUGGAGUAAUAAGGGAGUCGUGACUCCUGAUGCAAGUACACUGAAAAUAAGGAUCGGCUAACUCCGUGCCAGCAGCCGCGGUAAUACGGAGGAUCCGAGCGUUAUCCGGAUUUAUUGGGUUUAAAGGGUGCGCAGGCGGCCGUGUAAGUCAGCGGUUAAAUCGUGGAGCUCAACUCCAUCCCGCCGUUGAUACUGCAGGGCUUGAUUGCGGUCGAGGUAGGCGGAAUUCGUCGUGUAGCGGUGAAAUGCAUAGAUAUGACGAAGAACACCGAUUGCGUAGGCAGCUUACCAGGCCGUAAAUGACGCUCAUGCACGAAAGUGCGGGGAUCGAACAGGAUUAGAUACCCUGGUA
This 453-nucleotide ribosomal RNA is filed under the name uncultured Porphyromonadaceae bacterium. Its description in RNAcentral is "partial 16S ribosomal RNA". It matches the Rfam family "Bacterial small subunit ribosomal RNA", at positions 341 to 792 of the family's 1533-position model. Lineage: Bacteria; Pseudomonadati; Bacteroidota; Bacteroidia; Bacteroidales; Porphyromonadaceae. The record is from RNAcentral.